UCCACGCCGUAAACGAUGGUCACUAGUUGUUGGGGUCUUGUACCUCAGUGAUUAAGAGAAAUUGAUAAGUGACCCACCUGGGGAGUACGAUCGCAAGAUUGAAACUCAAAGGAAUUGACGGGGGCCCGCACAAGCGGUGGAGCAUGUGGUUUAAUUCGAUGAUACGCGAGGAACCUUACCAGGGCUUAAAUGUAGGUUGCAUUAGUUAGAGAUAGCUAUUUCUUCGGACUACU
RNAcentral lists this ribosomal RNA (233 nucleotides) under uncultured bacterium. RNAcentral describes it as "partial 16S ribosomal RNA". It matches the Rfam family "Bacterial small subunit ribosomal RNA", at positions 794 to 1031 of the family's 1533-position model. The record is from RNAcentral.